CUACGGGCUGCAGCAGUGGGGAAUAUUGGACAAUGGGGGAAACCCUGAUCCAGCAAUGCCGCGUGUGUGAAGAAGGCCUGCGGGUUGUAAAGCACUUUCGGUUGGGAGGACUGCUUCUAGCACUAAUAUUGUUGGAAGUUGACGUUACCUUCAGAAGAAGCACCGGCUACUCCGUGCCAGCAGCCGUGGUAAUACGGAGGGUGCAAGCGUUAAUCGGAAUUACUGGGCGUAAAGCGCGCGUAGGCGGCUAGAUCAGUCGGGUGUGAAAGCCCCGGGCUUAACCUGGGAACUGCAUCCGAUACUGUCUAGCUUGAGUACAGGAGAGGAGAGUGGAAUUCCACAUGUAGCGGUGAAAUGCGUAGAUAUGUGGAGGAACACCAAUGGCGAAGGCAGCUCUCUGGCCUGAUACUGACGCUGAGGUGCGAAAGCGUGGGGAGCAAACAGGAUUAGAUACCCCCGUAGUC
Molecule: ribosomal RNA, 464 nt
Filed under: uncultured bacterium
Lineage: Bacteria
Description: partial 16S ribosomal RNA
Rfam family: Bacterial small subunit ribosomal RNA
Source: RNAcentral